GCGCGGUAGCUCAGAUGGUUAGAGCGUCGGAUUCAUAACCCGGAGGUCGACGGUUCAAAUCCGUCCCGCG
This 70-nucleotide transfer RNA is filed under the name uncultured Longimonas sp. It matches the Rfam family "tRNA". Rfam says of the family: Transfer RNA (tRNA) molecules are approximately 80 nucleotides in length. Their secondary structure includes four short double-helical elements and three loops (D, anti-codon, and T loops). Further hydrogen bonds mediate the characteristic L-shaped molecular structure. tRNAs have two regions of fundamental functional importance: the anti-codon, which is responsible for specific mRNA codon recognition, and the 3' end, to which the tRNAs corresponding amino acid is attached (by aminoacyl-tRNA synthetases). tRNAs cope with the degeneracy of the genetic code in two manners: having more than one tRNA (with a specific anti-codon) for a particular amino acid; and 'wobble' base-pairing, i.e. permitting non-standard base-pairing at the 3rd anti-codon position. The record is from RNAcentral. Lineage: Bacteria; Pseudomonadati; Rhodothermota; Rhodothermia; Rhodothermales; Salisaetaceae.